Molecule: ribosomal RNA, 555 nt
Filed under: uncultured bacterium
Lineage: Bacteria
Description: bacterial SSU rRNA
Rfam family: Bacterial small subunit ribosomal RNA
Source: RNAcentral
CGCUGGCGGCGUGCCUAAUACAUGCAAGUCGAGCGAACAGAUAAGGAGCUUGCUCCUUUGACGUUAGCGGCGGACGGGUGAGUAACACGUGGAUAACCUACCUAUAAGACUGGGAUAACUUCGGGAAACCGGAGCUAAUACCGGAUAACAUAUUGAACCGCAUGGUUCAAUAGUGAAAGGCGGCUUUGCUGUCACUUAUAGAUGGAUCCGCGCCGUAUUAGCUAGUUGGUAAGGUAACGGCUUACCAAGGCAACGAUACGUAGCCGACCUGAGAGGGUGAUCGGCCACACUGGAACUGAGACACGGUCCAGACUCCUACGGGAGGCAGCAGUAGGGAAUCUUCCGCAAUGGGCGAAAGCCUGACGGAGCAACGCCGCGUGAGUGAUGAAGGUCUUCGGAUCGUAAAACUCUGUUAUCAGGGAAGAACAAAUGUGUAAGUAACUGUGCACAUCUUGACGGUACCUGAUCAGAAAGCCACGGCUAACUACGUGCCAGCAGCCGCGGUAAUACGUAGGUGGCAAGCGUUAUCCGGAAUUAUUGGGCGUAAAGCGCGCG